UACGUAGGUGGCAAGCGUUGUCCGGAAUUACUGGGUGUAAAGCGCGUGUAGGCGGGAGGCCAAGUCUGCUGUGAAAUCGCUCGGCUCAACUGGGCGGGGUCGGUGGAAACUGGUCACCUGGAGGACGGUAGAGGCGAGUGGAAUUCCCGGUGUAGUGGCGAAAUGCGUAGAGAUCGGGAGGAACACCAGUGGCGAAGGCGGCUCGCUGGGCCGGUCCUGACGCUGAGACGCGAAGGCGUGGGGAGCGAACGGG
Molecule: ribosomal RNA, 253 nt
Filed under: uncultured bacterium
Lineage: Bacteria
Description: partial 16S ribosomal RNA
Rfam family: Bacterial small subunit ribosomal RNA
Source: RNAcentral